Molecule: ribosomal RNA, 472 nt
Filed under: uncultured bacterium
Lineage: Bacteria
Description: bacterial SSU rRNA
Rfam family: Bacterial small subunit ribosomal RNA
Source: RNAcentral
CCUGGCGGCUGCUUACCAUGCAAGUCGAGCGGUAAGGCUCCUUUGGGAGUACACGAGCGGCGAACGGGUGAGUAACACGUGAGCAAUCUGCCCUUCACUUUGGGAUAACUUCCGGAAACGGAAGCUAAUACCGAAUACGACCAUCACAGACAUCUGUUGAUGGUGGAAAGUUCCGGCGGUGAAGGAUGAGCUCGCGGCCUAUCAGCUUGUUGGUGAGGUAACGGCCCACCAAGGCGACGACGGGUAGCCGGCCUGAGAGGGUGACCGGCCACACUGGGACUGAGACACGGCCCAGACUCCUACGGGAGGCAGCAGUGGGGAAUAUUGGACAAUGGGCGAAAGCCUGAUCCAGCAACGCCGCGUGAGGGAUGACGGCCUUCGGGUUGUAAACCUCUUUCACCCAUGACGAAGCGAAAGUGACGGUAGUGGGAGAAGAAGCACCGGCCAACUACGUGCCAGCAGCCGCGGUAAU